RNAcentral lists this small RNA (98 nucleotides) under Olea europaea subsp. europaea. Lineage: Eukaryota; Viridiplantae; Streptophyta; Magnoliopsida; Lamiales; Oleaceae. The record is from RNAcentral.
UUGUUGUCAAACAUGGUCUAAAUUAAAACGAUACAGAAAAAAUUAGCAUGGGCUUGUGCAAGAAUGAAAUGCACAAAUCAAAAAAUAGGAAAACCAUC